GGGGCCCACUAGCAUGGCAGGAGCUGGUUUUCAAAAGGUGUAAUUCUCCACUGCGUGUCAUGGCUUUACUCUGGAACCUAGGGAUCUGCGAUGCUACUUACGCAUUAGAGUUGCUAUCACCUCUACGUGGAGUAUUUUCCCAUGAUGGAUACCUCUAAUAACAUAGGACUACCAGGUCAUACGGCCCAAGCAGGAGGGAAGCUCGCACCACUGCCUGAAUCUGCUCCAGAACCCUUUUCUACUCUGGGCCCCAACUCAAAAUUGGCACCUUUCAAGCCAUCAGUAUAUGUUAAGAGCAGAAUUCCCAGGUGUGGAAUAUUCUGCUUCUGAAACCCAAAGACGCCUACCAGGCAUUAUGCUUCCUUCUUCAUCGUGGAAGAGUUCUUCCUCUUGAAGACUCAAGAGUUUCAGUCUGAAAACUGGCCCAGACCCAGACAUUGGACAAGGGAUCAUGGCUGGAUAUUGGAGCGACUGCCCUCAGCCUCCUAAUCACCCAUCCUUGGAUUAUUUUGAUUGUACAGAUUGAGUAGCCCACUUGUUGGCUGCCCAUCUGUUUCACCCCGGGGAUCCCUUGUUCUGUGAACUGUCUCCAAAACUCACCAGGAACAGGCUGACCACAGGCAGGAAACACACCUAUAAGAGCAACGCAGGUGGAGACCCACAAGCUUUCAGAGAUCGUCACAAAGGUUCAGAAAUCAAAUGGCUCCAAGGCAUUUUAAGUCACAUGGAGGCCAGAAGAGAAUGAAACAAGUGCCUUCAAAACUCAGAAGCAAAACCAAUGUCUAACCUAGAAUCUAUACCCAAGCAAACCAUCACUUAAAUGUCAUAGAACAGACAUUUUAAGAUAUGCAAAGUUUACCUCCCAUGUACCUGCAGGAAGUAUACCACUGAAAUAACAGGGGGAAACGUGUGACACAGGAAAUGAAAGGCAAAGGGAAGCCUGAGGAAGGCGAAGAGAAAACCCAGCACAGCCGUGCACCCGACAGAGCACAACCAGUGGGGGCUGGAACACCCACACUCCCGAGACAGAUGGAGGGCUGGGUGGCCCCCACGCCUCUUGUCCCCUCUUCCGAACCUGGGACAGUAUGCCAUGGUCAGCCUGACAGAUUAUUUUACUCAGGCUGACGGUGCUUAAAUUCCUGCUUUUCCUCCUACUAUGCUGUCUGGAACACACAGUUCACCCUCACAGAAGUGUUCUGCCAUCUUGGAAACUGGAGGUGGGCCAAGCACUCUGCCGAGGCCUAGCUGCUGGCCAGCUGUUUCUCACAGCCUCAUUCACUGACCACCCACAAGCGGCUCCUGUAAGAUUUCAGGGAAGCUAGAAAACGACCCUGAGAUUCUGUUCAGUUUAUCUUCUCCUGGCAGCCUUCUUACAGUAGCAGUACUGCUCUUUACAGGUCUGUGCUUGCUCAUCAAUUUUUAUAUUACUCACUCUUCAUUUCUAUCAAUA
RNAcentral lists this long non-coding RNA (1450 nucleotides) under Equus caballus (horse). Its description in RNAcentral is "lncRNA (ENSECAG00000055555.1)". The record is from RNAcentral. Lineage: Eukaryota; Metazoa; Chordata; Mammalia; Perissodactyla; Equidae.